RNAcentral lists this microRNA precursor (61 nucleotides) under Tetraodon nigroviridis (spotted green pufferfish). RNAcentral describes it as "Tni-Mir-10-P1c2-v2_pre stem-loop". Lineage: Eukaryota; Metazoa; Chordata; Actinopteri; Tetraodontiformes; Tetraodontidae. The record is from RNAcentral.
ACCCUGUAGAUCCGAAUUUGUGUAAACAUGACGGAAGCUGCAAAUUCGGGUCUUGGGGAGG